RNAcentral lists this unclassified non-coding RNA (320 nucleotides) under plant metagenome. RNAcentral's name for it is "partial contains 5.8S ribosomal RNA, internal transcribed spacer 2, and large subunit ribosomal RNA". The stretch from base 1 to 105 matches the Rfam family "5.8S ribosomal RNA", at positions 50 to 154 of the family's 154-position model. The record is from RNAcentral.
GAAAUGCGAUAAGUAAUGUGAAUUGCAGAAUUCAGUGAAUCAUCGAAUCUUUGAACGCACAUUGCGCCCGCCAGUAUUCUGGCGGGCAUGCCUGUUCGAGCGUCAUUACAACCCUCAGGCCCCCGGGCCUGGCGUUGGGGAUCGGCGGAAGCCCCCUGCGGGCACAACGCCGUCCCCCAAAUACAGUGGCGGUCCCGCCGCAGCUUCCAUUGCGUAGUAGCUAACACCUCGCAACUGGAGAGCGGCGCGGCCACGCCGUAAAACACCCAACUUCUGAAAGUUGACCUCGAAUCAGGUAGGAAUACCCGCUGAACUUAAGC